AUGAGUGUUGGAAUUUGUGGGUACGGAGAGACAACAUUUGGACUCUCAGAAAAAAGCUGUAAACUGGGGAACAGGCUGAGGCCCUUUGUGAAGAGAUGGGUUAAAACCAGUGAAGCAGGAGCUAUUCCAGUGUCCAGUGUCCUCAGCUCAUUCUCCCGUGGUGAUGCUGCCAGAGAGCAGAGACCAGCCAUCAGAAGCACAUUAAUUCUGGUCUUUUCUUGUAUCUCUCAAAUAGUGCCCAAAAAAAAGAGACACUGUUUGCACCCCCGGGCUCACUGGUUCAGUCUUUCUCCUUCUUCCCCGGCUUCUCACCACUCCUCAUGCACUGUCGGUGGAAGCCCUGCCUCUACCUGCAAUAGGAAACUGAGCCGAGAGACGGUCCCCUUAUGGCCUCUAACCUGCGCAUCUCAGGCACGAGAUCCUCUCCCUUCAGCAUUCCUGCCUUCCUUAUUCCCUGUGUCCUGGGCCCUCUGCACACCUUAUCUCCAGCCCUGUUUGGCAUCGACAUUCUAAUUCUCUGGCUUGAACAGCCUCCCAGACCAUGCUG
Molecule: long non-coding RNA, 547 nt
Filed under: Sus scrofa (pig)
Lineage: Eukaryota; Metazoa; Chordata; Mammalia; Artiodactyla; Suidae
Description: lncRNA (ENSSSCG00065068179.1)
Source: RNAcentral